GGUGGACUGCAACGGCGUGGUGUCUCUGAUCAGUCCGGGGACCGGGGGACGCCUUCUGCCUGAGGUGAAAAUAGAUAAGGCAUCUGGUGACGACAGUCCCACUACUGAGGUUGAGGUGAAGAAGAAGCUGUCUGGUUCCCUGAUGGUGUCUAUGGACCAGCUCAAUACCUCCUUCGGAGGGAAAGAGCGGGCCAACAGUGUCAUGAGCGUCAUCACCAACACACUAGCAGAGGAACUGGAGGAGUCUCAGCGUAGUUGUCCACCGUGGUGGUAUAAGUUCUCCAACAUGGUCCUCAUCUGGGAGUGUUAUCCCAUCUGGUU
Salmo salar (Atlantic salmon) is the source of this 321-nucleotide non-coding RNA. NCBI's taxonomy places the organism in Eukaryota, Metazoa, Chordata, Actinopteri, Salmoniformes, Salmonidae. The record is from RefSeq and is a predicted model, not a curated record.